GUGGAACUAGCUCUGAAAAAUAUGGAAUACAAGGCUAUGGAUGACAGCAUUGUAAAGAAAGGGGUCACUCUUGAAGAUCCUCACACUGAAGAUCUUAGCCAAGAAGUCAGGGGAUUUAUAUUCUCUAGGAUUCUGGAGCGUAAACAGGAGUUAACAUCUGAAAUAAUGGCUUUCAGGGAUUAUCUUCUAUCAUCAACAGUUUCUGAUACACUUGAUGUCUGGGAGUUAAAAGAUUUAGGGCAUCAAACUGCACAGAGAAUAGUUCAUGCUGCUGAUCCUUUGCAGUCAAUGCAAGAAAUUAAUCAAAAUUUUCCUAGUGUUGUCUCUUCUUUAUCUCGGAUGAAGCUCAAUGAAUCUAUCAAAGAGGAAAUUGUUACAAAUCAGCGAAUGAUUCCACCUGGAAAGUCAUUAAUGGCCCUGAAUGGUGCCUUAGUCAAUUUUGAAGAUAUUGACCUUUAUCUGCUGGUUGACAUGGUCCAUCAGGAGUUAUCAUUAGCUGAUCAAUACUCUAAAAUGAAGAUUCCUGUCAGCACCGUGAGGAAGCUCCUUUCAGCACUGCCCCCUUCUGAGUCUAGUACAUUCCGUGUUGAUUAUCGCUCAAAUCAUGUUCAUUAUCUCAAUAACUUGGAGGUGGAUGAGAUGUAUAAACGUUGGCGGAGCAAUUUGA
RNAcentral lists this unclassified non-coding RNA (667 nucleotides) under Hevea brasiliensis (rubber tree). The record is from RNAcentral. Lineage: Eukaryota; Viridiplantae; Streptophyta; Magnoliopsida; Malpighiales; Euphorbiaceae.